CAGUAGCCGCGGUAACACAGAGGGUGCGAGCGUUAAUCGGAUUUACUGGGCGUAAAGCGUGCGUAGGCGGCUUUUUAAGUCGGAUGUGAAAUCCCUGAGCUUAACUUAGGAAUUGCAUUCGAUACUGGGAAGCUAGAGUAUGGGAGAGGAUGGUAGAAUUCCAGGUGUAGCGGUGAAAUGCGUAGAGAUCUGGAGGAAUACCGAUGGCGAAGGCAGCCAUCUGGCCUAAUACUGACGCUGAGGUACGAAAGCAUGGGGAGCAAACAGGAUUAGAUACCCGCGUAGUCCCUGUCUCUUAUAC
This 301-nucleotide ribosomal RNA is filed under the name uncultured bacterium. RNAcentral describes it as "partial 16S ribosomal RNA". It matches the Rfam family "Bacterial small subunit ribosomal RNA", at positions 509 to 807 of the family's 1533-position model. The record is from RNAcentral.